AGCCACAGUUGACUAAGCUGACCAUAGGAGCAUCUUUGGAAUCUCCUAGGUUCUGGAUGUGCUGACUGCUGAAUUGAUAAGCUGGAGCAGCAGGGACUGAAGAAGUGUUGGGUAGAGGGAGGCUGGGUGCCUGUUCCUCAUCUUUAACCUCUCUUUCACAACAAAGAGCCCAACCUUGAUGCUCUGCCGUGUCCUCAGUGAGAUCAGAACUUCCUCAGACUGAGUUUCUGUACAACCAGAGGAUGUCCCCCUGGACAAGGGACAGAAGAAAGAA
This is a long non-coding RNA of Bos indicus x Bos taurus (hybrid cattle), 274 nucleotides long. The record is from Ensembl. NCBI's taxonomy places the organism in Eukaryota, Metazoa, Chordata, Mammalia, Artiodactyla, Bovidae.